Molecule: ribosomal RNA, 253 nt
Filed under: uncultured Eubacteriales bacterium
Lineage: Bacteria; Bacillati; Bacillota; Clostridia; Eubacteriales
Description: uncultured Clostridiales bacterium partial 16S ribosomal RNA
Rfam family: Bacterial small subunit ribosomal RNA
Source: RNAcentral
UACGUAGGGGGCAAGCGUUAUCCGGAUUUACUGGGUGUAAAGGGAGCGUAGACGGCAGCACAAGUCUGGAGUGAAAUCCCAUGGCUUAACCAUGGAACUGCUUUGGAAACUGUGCAGCUGGAGUGCAGGAGAGGAAAGCGGAAUUCCUAGUGUAGCGGUGAAAUGCGUAGAUAUUAGGAAGAACACCAGUGGCGAAGGCGGCUUUCUGGACUGAAACUGACGCUGAGGCACGAAAGCGUGGGGAGCGAACAGG